AUGGUGACAACCUGCAAAGUGCAAGUGCACCAGCCCUUCCCCCUUCGACGAAAUCCUGGCCUUUGGGACUGCAGGAUCAGUAAUGAGCCAAGACGGACUACACCUAGAACAUCUGGUAAAGUCAAAUACUGUUUUGCUGAAGAGUCAAAAGUGAAAUUUGACUAUCAGCUUCUUAGAGACCCUUGAUGCCAUUUACUCUUAGACAUCUAACUCA
Molecule: long non-coding RNA, 214 nt
Filed under: Struthio camelus australis
Lineage: Eukaryota; Metazoa; Chordata; Aves; Struthioniformes; Struthionidae
Description: lncRNA (ENSSCUG00000008809.1)
Source: RNAcentral